This is a long non-coding RNA of Triticum aestivum (bread wheat), 1284 nucleotides long. RefSeq lists it as uncharacterized. The record is from RefSeq and is a predicted model, not a curated record. NCBI's taxonomy places the organism in Eukaryota, Viridiplantae, Streptophyta, Magnoliopsida, Poales, Poaceae. The transcript has 4 exons.
UCGUCUCCCACAGGACCCGGGCGAAACGCUCCCCCCAACCCACACAACGCCGCCGCAAGGAACCUCUUCCCUCCUCUCGCUCGCUCGGUGGUGAAUCCUCUCUUCCUUGAUCGAAUGGGGCGCGCGAGGGAGCCGAUCCGCGUGAGGUGAUCCAGCGCGGCGCGCUCCAGUCGAGGCGCGCGAGGGGAGACGAGGCACGCGAGAGGAUCCAGCGGACAUGCAGGAGGCGGGUGAAUCGGGGGUCGGCCGAUCGAGCUGAUGCGGGCGAUCCAAUUGCGAAGAAGCCAUGGUUUACGCUUAGGGUCGCGCACGUCCUACACUGUAGGCAUACCGGCAGCCUACCUGCUAGACUAUAAGUGCUGCACGUUGGCGUGAUGGCCGGUCCCGUUGUUCUUGGCCAUCACAUUCCACACCAACUGGCAGAAUGAGGCUGUGCAACUGACCGAAGCAAAAGAAAAGGACUUCAGGUGCUGAUUCUAAUUGGGUCCCAUAAAGUGCCUCUCUAUUGGUAACUUUGCACCUAGGAGUAGGAAUAUGCAAACGUGAUAACUAAUUUAUGCUACAUAUUUUCUCUUUUGGUUAGAUGCAUGCACACAUGCGCUUCUAUGCAGUGCAUUUGCUGAAUGUUUCAUGCUAUAUUCAGUUGACAAGAAUAGUCAGUCAAUAAUGAUUUAGAUGAUAAUUCAAAAUAUUGCACUUGCUAGAUUUAUUGCCCUAUCUGGAUAAUAAAACAUUUGAUUUGUUUGCAGCUUUUGCUAUGCCUUCACGAAAUAAGAAAAAAACUAGACUAGAGGGUUCUUUCAUCCUUUUCUUAUGUGCAUUCAUCUUUCAACUUUUUUCUUAUGUACUCUCCUCAACUCCCAUGUUUUUUUUCUGUACUUGCAACCCAUGAUCACUUGUACGCAAUCUUUAAUUUUUAUCCACUUACGAGAGGGACGUAUCUGCUGCACUUGGCAUAAUUUUGUGCUAACCUAUAAUUAAAUUUUACAUCGGAUAUAUACAAGUCAAUUUGAUAACAUUUCUUCAGGAUGCCCAAAAGCAUUUUUACAAGGCUUCCCAGUUGUAAUAUUAAACAUUAUAUUCAACCUGAUACUGAAGCUCACAUCGUGUAUGUCCAAUCUUAGAGCUACAAUAACAAUCCAAUAUGCUGUCUAUGGUAAACAAAAUGAAAGGGUUGCAAUUUCUACCAUUUUUCUUUUUCUGUUAAACUGUUAUUAUUAUAGUCAACGUUCUUUGUAAUCUGAAAGACUUUCAUUUGCCGUAGUAUUAUAGGUAUUAGACCGG